This 2127-nucleotide long non-coding RNA is filed under the name Daphnia pulex (common water flea). RNAcentral describes it as "uncharacterized LOC124209554, transcript variant X5". The record is from RNAcentral. Lineage: Eukaryota; Metazoa; Arthropoda; Branchiopoda; Diplostraca; Daphniidae.
GAUUUUUCUACGGUCGAAAUUCUCAUUUAAAGGCAACUAAUAAAUGGUUCUAGAGCAACUUUAUACCGGCGAUAUUGCUUUUAAUUAUGUUGUUAUUUGUUUGGAGAACCCGAAAAACAUUACCCCGAGAUCAUGUAACAGGAGGCGGUCAUGUUUGAUAGCUGAAUAGAGAUGAAAGAAAACAAAAAGAGGAUAAAUGUUUUUCCAAGGACCCUCACCACCUGUCGAGGAUUCUCGUAUGUAAUAGCACUGUGCACACACACAAGUAUAUAUCAGUGUGUGUGUGUGUGGCACCCCUCCACCACCCACUUUUAACUCCCCGCUUCGGGGCCGGAAGUGGGAGGUUUCGAUCGAAUUCACGACAGACACGCCGAAACAAAAAAAAGAAUUGCUCACGCUUCGAUGCUCACAUCUAGCGGCCGUAAUAUUGACUUUAUGAUUGAAACUGUUUCCAUUGCCAUUUGGCUCUUGUUAUUGUUAACAGUUGGGUUCACUUUUCACUUGUCAUCGACAACACAUUUCGCCACGAAACAGAUAAGGAAUUUCUCGGUUUUGCUGAUAGAGAAUGACAUGACCAGGAACCAGGAGCUUCCAGCAUCGUAAAUUUUAACAGCACGAUGCGAUAAAAGGUGUAUCGUAUCCCUACAGGCUCAAGAAAAGCUGAAUACUGAAUAUCACUGAAUCUCAUCUUCUGUUGAAGACGACACAUCAUACCUGGUGAAGUUGAUGACAUUGAUUCCGAAAUCUGCCUGUCGCCAGCUCUUUCUGAUUCCUGUCCUGUUGCUGAAGAUGGUCCCAAUUCAUGUCGGAAAGUGGCGUUGGAUAGUUUUCAUUUUUUCAAUCCGAAGUUUCUAAGUUGUCGGACGACCUGUACUGCCCAGUCGACAAAACCUAGACAACGCCCAGGAACAUGGCAUCAGACAAGGCGAAGAAGACCUCCGGGAAGGAACGCGGAAGGCAAUUAGCCAAGUACAAGUAGCCUACCAUCAAUUCUUUGAUUAAAAAUCGUCGUUCUGCUGAAUGCUCCACCCUAUUAAUACAGGUCACUAACCACAGUGUAAACUUGUUUUUUCAAUCAUGUUUCUACAAUAAGCUAUGGGAACAUAAUCAAGGCCAUUGGGUAAUCUUCAUCAGGAAACUUAAAGAAGUCACAUGAAAAGAUGCAGGGCACAUACCAACAUGUGUUGUAUUUUUCUGAAUGUUUUACUCAAGCAAUUCAACAUGACUAACUGUUUGAUGCCAAAGUUAGUUGGAACUCUCACAGAUAAUCUUUGCUGCUGCCUUACAGCCACAGGCAGGAAAUGAUUCUUUUCUUCACAAAAUUGGAAAGCUGCUGCAGUAAUCUAGUGUCCAUCACGCCAUCCCCACUUGAUUCAUUUCGUGUCAGCUAGUGAAAGGCGUCACGAAUUCAAAUUUGGCUGCUGCGUGCUGUCUGCAAGCAAGCAAUCCAAUUGGCGGUCGCUAGGUGGCGCGAGUGUCUUCAGGGACCAAAUUCUGCCAUUUUGAUCCAUGACACAGCAGAAGUGGGAUGCCGGUGUGAAGUUUCGCAUGAUGAAAAUGUAAAGUUCAAUACCAAUUUGUCAAAUCAUCUAACUCGGACUUGAGUGCCUGUUCAUUUUGCCGAAAUGUCGUGCCUCGUGUGUCUUGCUGCCUGUACCUGUACGUCUCGUGUUCUCGUCCCAUGCAAAAGCAAAAGUCCGCUGUUGGUUACCUUGUUGCAGCCUGAUGGUGUAAGAUGUGAUGAAGACUAAUUGAACUGUGGUUCCAGUGUUAUUCAGAAGUAGCUGGCGGUCUCCUGGAGUAGCCUGAAGUAGCCUGAAGUAGCCUGAAGUUGCCAGUGGUAUCCGGGUUGCUGACUUUAAAUAUUUUUCUCUGUUCUCAUUUGUGUAUUUUGCCCUGCCAGUCAUCCCGUGUUGCUGACUUGAAAUAUUUUUAUCCAUUUUUAUUUAUGGUUUUGCUCUGCCAGUGAGCAAAAUGGUUGAAUUGGUUUCAUCUGUUGUCUUUUUGUUUUACUUGGGCAGUAUACGAUUGUGGCAAACUGAUUCUAUGUCAGUUUUGAUACAGUCGACAACUGCUAGAUUAAAUUCCGGCUUUCUGCACCAACAAAAUAAUAACGGCACAUGUUAU